AUGCCCCAUGAGCUGAGUUUCUCCAUCCAGAAUCUAGGACUUCAGACUGAACACAUCAGUGACUCUCCACUUGUCUGGCUGCCACCUUCUAGACCAUUACUCCUCCAGAUGCUCUCUUAUCUAUUUGUGCAAUCAGAAAUUCAUUCAUGUGAGGAAAAAGCAGUUAAAACCGAUGGAAAAACGCCAAAGAAAGUGACUGUCAGACUGAUUGCUUUUUGGCAGAGACUGAGAUCAAGAUUUACCAAGGAAAGCCCACGUAUAUAUGACCCAAGAGGAAGUGCCAGAGCUUAAGAGCAUCACGAAGCGUGGAAACUGGAAUUUCAGUUACCUUGCAAGAUAUCAGGUGCCUCCUUCAAAUGAAUUUUUAAGUAUCUCCGUGAUGAUGAAGAAGAACAGAGACAUCAAUUAGGAUUCAGGAAGACAAGUCUUUGCAGAAAAUGCUUAGAGCAUCAAGGAUUGCUAUUAAUAUUUGAAAGUUUAAAAGAGGGCAUACUUUUCUUCAGUCAACAAAUGACAAAAGUAAAGGCAUUGUUUUCGUUGUUCCUGGAAGAAGCCUGGCAGCAUUCCAUUCAGUCAUCUGCCCUUUGAUCGUCGUCCCCUUUUCCUCUUUACUUAUUUCAGUCCUUCUAAUCUUCAAGGCUGAGUCUGAAUAUUUCUUCCUGAGGCUUCUUCCAAUCCUAUCUGCCCUUAAGGACAACUCCCUCCUCCAACUCCUAUAGCCCUUAUUAUUAUACCUUUCAUUUGAAAAUUUAGUACAUGAUACAUUAUACUAUUAUUGAAUAAAUAGAUGUUCAUUCUCUGCA
RNAcentral lists this long non-coding RNA (803 nucleotides) under Ursus maritimus (polar bear). RNAcentral describes it as "lncRNA (ENSUMAG00000020715.1)". Lineage: Eukaryota; Metazoa; Chordata; Mammalia; Carnivora; Ursidae. The record is from RNAcentral.